GGUAGGGUGGCCGAGAGUUAGGUGGCAGGCUGUAUCCUGCGCAACAUGGGUUUAAAUCCUGUUUCUACC
RNAcentral lists this transfer RNA (69 nucleotides) under Rhacodactylus auriculatus (New Caledonia bumpy gecko). RNAcentral's name for it is "tRNA-Tyr". Lineage: Eukaryota; Metazoa; Chordata; Lepidosauria; Squamata; Diplodactylidae. The record is from RNAcentral.